CCAAUGAGGGCAUCCAACGGACUGGCCUCUGUUGGCGCUGCCCAUUUGGCUUACGGAGCUUAGUGCCUUUGCGCACAAACUUUAUGAAGUAUAGUCCACAGCCAAUGCAUUGGAUAUCAAGCCGUGCUAGCGUACUACGAGAAAUCAUAGUACGCCAGGCUGUCGGCAAUUGCAUAUUCCUUGCGUUUCCUGUAGUCACUAUGUGACAGUAAUCAGGGAGAUAAACCAUGCAAUAAACAUUU
RNAcentral lists this small nucleolar RNA (242 nucleotides) under Trichoplax adhaerens. RNAcentral describes it as "Small nucleolar RNA SNORA73 family". It matches the Rfam family "Small nucleolar RNA SNORA73 family". Rfam says of the family: U17 (SNORA73A and SNORA73B) also known as E1 belongs to the H/ACA class of small nucleolar RNAs (snoRNAs). Vertebrate U17 is intron-encoded and ranges in length from 200-230 nucleotides, longer than most snoRNAs. The record is from Rfam by way of RNAcentral. Lineage: Eukaryota; Metazoa; Placozoa; Uniplacotomia; Trichoplacea; Trichoplacidae.